This is a non-coding RNA of Triticum aestivum (bread wheat), 125 nucleotides long. NCBI's taxonomy places the organism in Eukaryota, Viridiplantae, Streptophyta, Magnoliopsida, Poales, Poaceae. The record is from Rfam.
UAGAUACUCCCUCCGUCAGAAAAUACAUGUUGCACAAACGGAUAAAAAUAAAUGUAUCUAGAGCUAAAAUACGUCUAAAUACAUCUAUUUCUUCAACAAGUAAUUUCGGACGAAGGGAGUACUAA